This 161-nucleotide non-coding RNA is filed under the name Clostridium cochlearium. The record is from RNAcentral. Lineage: Bacteria; Bacillati; Bacillota; Clostridia; Eubacteriales; Clostridiaceae.
AUACAAGUGCCCCAAAAGGGAUAAUAGGGAAGUUGGUGAGAUUCCAGCACGAUCCCGUCACUGUGAUAGGUAGUUUCUUACAAAAUCCACUAGGUUUUUACAGAUUUGGGAAGGAGUAAGAAGAACAAUGACCUUAAGUCAGGAAACCUGCUUGUAUGGAU